Molecule: long non-coding RNA, 1335 nt
Organism: Vigna angularis (adzuki bean)
Lineage: Eukaryota; Viridiplantae; Streptophyta; Magnoliopsida; Fabales; Fabaceae
Exons: 4
Source: RefSeq, a predicted model, not a curated record
AUAGAUUAUAAUACUUUUUUUUUCAUUUCCCUCACAUUUUUUUAGCAUUUCCUCCCAAAAUUUUACUUUUUUUCACUCCAAAUUUUAGAUUUUUCUUUUCUAGAAAUAGAACACAACAAACCCAAAAGAAAGAAACCCUUCGUGCCUCAGCUUCUUCCCUGACCUUUCACUGUCUCAAUUUUCUCUUCACCCUUGAUUGACCACCUCAAUACGGUGGAGACGCCCGUCACCGUGGAGGACUGGCCACCGUGGCCCACGAAUUGGGGGGCUGAAGAAGCAGCACAACGUGGAGUACUGGAUGAUGGGGUCGCUUCUCCACGACGUCGAGGGCAGAGAAGUGGUUAGGGUUUCGGAUCCACAACUCGCCAAUGCCUUCUUCGUUCCGUUCUUCUCUGCGCUCAGUUUCAACACGCACGGCCACAACAUGUAGGAUCCCGCCACGGACACGGAUCGUCAAUUGCAGAAAGCUGACUACGAUGUUGAGGUCAGCGGGGUUGAGAUAUCUCCUGAUCCUAUUGAAGAGGCCAGCCUGCUACAUUCAACAUUGUUGCAACUACAAGUUGAGUCCGUGUAGUUUUGAUAUGUCAUUGGUGACUAUGUGAAGUAAUACUAGUAUUGGUGAUAAGCUUUGUAAAAGGCUAUGUAAAGGAAAAAGGGUCGUGUGCUUAUAAAUAUGAUGUAGCUGAAAGAUGUGGAGCAUUGGUUUAUCUUAACAAAUUCACUGAAAGAUGUGGAGCAUAUGUUGUUGUCAAGCAAGAGAUGAUGCAACCUAGUGCCAACAUCAAAGACAGGUAAAUUCCUUUCUAUAUAUUUAUCUUGUUUUUUCUAGUUUGCAUAUUGUCAUAAAUUUUUGUAUGAAGAAUCUCAACUUUGUAGGUUCGGAAAUGGAUGAUGAAUCCAUUGUUCAUCUUGUUUAUCAUGCUUACAAUCUCACAAAACUUUGUAUGUAUAUCAUCAACCAAAGAUUAGAAGCAAUGGAAGCAGGAGAGUCUACGAACAAUGACUUGUUGGACAUACAUUGUUGAAUUUUAAAAAAGUAGUGAUGGAGGAAUGAGUUUAAGGGAAGUAGUUGAUGAAGUGAAGCUCUUUUAUUUUGCAGCAUAGGAAGCAAAUGCAGAGUGUCUCAUGUCAAACUUUUAUCUGAGUUAGGGAUUUUGUUUAGGUUAUCAACAUUAGUCUAUAUGUUUUUAAUUGGUCUUGUAGUUUUCGACCAGGUCAAUCUUGUAAUGUUAUCUAAACAUUAUGUACUUUUUUAUAUUUACAUUGUAAUUGUCAACAAAUGUACUUAUAUUAUUUUAAAUCAUUAAUAAAAUUAAUUUGAAUUAUUUUUGUAUA